Long non-coding RNA from Diprion similis, 509 nucleotides. RefSeq lists it as uncharacterized. The record is from RefSeq and is a predicted model, not a curated record. The transcript has 3 exons. Lineage: Eukaryota; Metazoa; Arthropoda; Insecta; Hymenoptera; Diprionidae.
GCUUGAUUUUAAACAUUUCGUGUUCUUGAAUAUAGCGUUUUAUAUUAGCAGUUUUAAGUAUCGUGUAAAUGGAAGAAGGGAUCACAGGCGUGCGCGUGAAAGAAUGUUGACUCAAUAAAAAAAAAAAAAACGUUAGUUUUCUUCAAAACAGAAUGAUUGAUAAUCCAUAUUCUCUUGUAACAGUUGGUUUUCUCGAUUCCUCAUCCGCAGUUUCAACGUGUGCAAGUUAUAAUGAGGGGUGUAGAUGUGUGAUCUGAGAUCCUCGGAUAUGUAAGAGAAGAAAAAAAUUCCCACAAAUGAAUCAAUAUAGAAUAAAAUGAAAGGUUUUUAGCAAUUGGUUAGAAUAUUUUCCACGCGAAAAAUGUUUGAGUAGUUUUUGUGCCAAUUCUUUACAAGUGCCGAAUGUAAACAAUAUUUGGGUAACAUUAAGAGUAUGUUGCAACGCUUCCAAGUACCUCGCCUCACAAAAUGGUCAGGCCAAGUAUAUUGAUACUUAACAUUUGCAUAUG